This 408-nucleotide ribosomal RNA is filed under the name Amblyomma maculatum (Gulf Coast tick). RNAcentral describes it as "partial small subunit ribosomal RNA". The record is from RNAcentral. Lineage: Eukaryota; Metazoa; Arthropoda; Arachnida; Ixodida; Ixodidae.
AGUAUUUUGACUAUACAAAGGUAUUGAAAUAAGACUUUAAUUGAGUGCUAAGAGAAUGGAAUUUCAUAAAAUUUCUUUUUUAAUUUUAAAAACUGAAAUUAAUUUUAUAUGUGAAGAAACAAUAAUAAAAAUUAAGGACAAGAAGACCCUAAGAAUUUUAAAAAUUUCAAUAAAAUGCUGUAUUUUAUUGAAAUUUUUUAAUUGGGGCGAUUAUUAAAUAUUAAAAACUUUAAUUUUUUUAAAAAAGAACCAAUAAUAUUGGUUAUUUGAAAAAAUACUCUAGGGAUAACAGCGUAAUAAUUUUUGAUAGUUCUUAUAGACAAAAUAGUUUGCGACCUCGAUGUUGGAUUAGGAUUCUUUUUUAAUGAAGAAGUUAAAAAAAGAAGUUUGUUCAACUUUUAAAAUCCU